Molecule: ribosomal RNA, 402 nt
Filed under: uncultured eukaryote
Lineage: Eukaryota
Description: bacterial SSU rRNA
Rfam family: Eukaryotic small subunit ribosomal RNA
Source: RNAcentral
UAAUAGCGUAUAUUAAAGUUGUUGCAGUUAAAAGCUCGUAGUCGGAUGUCGGGCUCGGGCAGGCUGUCGGCUUCGGUCGGACGGCAGGCUCGGGUCUUUCUGCCUGAGGAUCCCGUUGCACUUAAUUGUGGGCGUGGGGACGCAGGCCGUUUACUUUGAAAAAUUAGAGUGCUCAAAGCAGGCUAUUACGCCUGAAUAUUCGUGCAUGGAAUAAUAGAAUAGGAAGUCGUUUCUAUUUUGUUGGUUUUCGGAAAUCGACUUAAUGAUUAAUAGGGACAGUCGGGGCAUUUGUAUCAAACGACAGAGGUGGAAUUCUUGGACCGUUUGAAGACAAACUACUGCGAAAGCAUUUGCCAAGAAUGUUUUCAUUAAUCAAGAACGAAAGUUAAAGGUUCGAAGACG